UUGAACGCUGGCGGCAUGCUUUACACAUGCAAGUCGAACGGCAGCGGGGGCUUCGGCCUGCCGGCGAGUGGCGAACGGGUGAGUAAUGCAUCGGAACGUACCCAGUCGUGGGGGAUAACUACGCGAAAGCGUAGCUAAUACCGCAUACGCCCUGAGGGUGAAAGCGGGGGAUCGCAAGACCUCGCGCUAUUGGAGCGGCCGAUGGCAGAUUAGGUAGUUGGUGGGGUAAAGGCCUACCAAGCCUACGAUCUGUAGCUGGUUUGAGAGGACGACCAGCCACACUGGGACUGAGACACGGCCCAGACUCCUACGGGAGGCAGCAGUGGGGAAUUUUGGACAAUGGGCGCAAGCCUGAUCCAGCCAUGCCGCGUGCGGGAAGAAGGCCUUCGGGUUGUAAACCGCUUUUGUCAGGGAAGAAAUACUCUGGGCUAAUACCCUGGGGUGAUGACGGUACCUGAAGAAUAAGCACCGGCUAACUACGU
This 482-nucleotide ribosomal RNA is filed under the name uncultured bacterium. Its description in RNAcentral is "bacterial SSU rRNA". It matches the Rfam family "Bacterial small subunit ribosomal RNA", at positions 30 to 506 of the family's 1533-position model. The record is from RNAcentral.